RNAcentral lists this ribosomal RNA (508 nucleotides) under uncultured bacterium. Its description in RNAcentral is "partial 16S ribosomal RNA". It matches the Rfam family "Bacterial small subunit ribosomal RNA", at positions 29 to 523 of the family's 1533-position model. The record is from RNAcentral.
AUUGAACGCUGGCGGCAGGCCUAACACAUGCAAGUCGAGCGGCAGCGGGAAAGUAGCUUGCUACUUUUGCCGGCGAGCGGCGGACGGGUGAGUAAUGCCUGGGAAAUUGCCCAGUCGAGGGGGAUAACAGUUGGAAACGACUGCUAAUACCGCAUACGCCCUACGGGGGGAAGCAGGGGACCUUCGGGCCUUGCGCGAUUGGAUAUGCCCAGGUGGGAUUAGCUAGUUGGUGAGGUAAUGGCUCACCAAGGAGACGAUCCCUAGACGGUCUGAGAGGAUGAGCAGCCACACGGGAACGGAGACACGGUCCGGACUCCUACGGGAGGAAGCAGUGGGGAAUAUUGGACAAUGGGGGAAACCCUGAUGCAGCCAUGCCGCGUGUGUGAAGAAGGCCUUCGGGUUGUAAAGCACUUUCAGCGAGGAGGAAAGGUUGAUGCCUAAUACGUAUCAACUGUGACGUUACUCGCAGAAGAAGCACCGGCUAACUCCGUGCCAGCAGCCGCAGUAA